Molecule: ribosomal RNA, 464 nt
Filed under: uncultured bacterium
Lineage: Bacteria
Description: partial 16S ribosomal RNA
Rfam family: Bacterial small subunit ribosomal RNA
Source: RNAcentral
GACGAACGCUGGCGGCGUGCUUAACACAUGCAAGUCGAGCGGUAAGGCCUCUUCGGGGGUACACGAGCGGCGAACGGGAGAGUAACACGUGGGUGACCUGCCUUCAGCUCUGGGAUAAGCCUGGGAAACUGGGUCUAAUACCGGAUAGGACCUUUCCUCGCCUGGGGGUUGGUGGAAAGAUUUUUCGGCUGGGGAUGGGUCCGCGUCCUAUCUGCUUGUUGGUGGGGUGGUGGCUUACCGAGGCAGCCGCGGGUAGCCGGCCGGACAGGGCGAGCGGCCGCACAGGCUCGGACUGACACACCGCCCAGACACCUACGGGAGGCAGGGGGAGGAAAUCAUGAGGAAUGGGCGGCAGACUCAGGCAGCGAGGCCGCGUGAAGAAUGACGGCCUUCGGGUUGUAAACCUCUUUCGGCACCGACGAAUUUGGACGGUAGGGGGAGAAGAAGCACCGGCCAACUACGUG